RNAcentral lists this ribosomal RNA (409 nucleotides) under uncultured bacterium. RNAcentral's name for it is "bacterial SSU rRNA". It matches the Rfam family "Bacterial small subunit ribosomal RNA", at positions 30 to 455 of the family's 1533-position model. The record is from RNAcentral.
AUUGAACGCUGGCGGCAGGCUUAACACAUGCAAGUCGAGCGGAGACUUCGGUCUUAGCGGCGAACGGGUGAGUAAUACCUAGGAAUCUGCCUAUUAGUGGGGGAUAACGGCUCGAAAGGGUCGCUAAUACCGCAUACGUCCUACGGGAGAAAGAGGGGGAUCUUCGGACCUCUUGCUAAUAGAUGAGCCUAGGCCGGAUUAGCUAGUUGGUAGGGUAAAGGCCUACCAAGGCGACGAUCCGUAGCUGGUCUGAGAGGAUGAUCAGCCACACUGGAACUGAGACACGGUCCAGACUCCUACGGGAGGCAGCAGUGGGGAAUAUUGGACAAUGGGGGCAACCCUGAUCCAGCCAUGCCGCGUGUGUGAAGAAGGCCUCGGUUGUAAGCACUUUAAGUACGAGGAGGAAGGU